UAGGUUUUGAUAACUAAAUUAAAUCUCCCCUUGUCUCAACAAAUUCUUAAAUCUACUUUGGUAUUGUUUGGACGUCUAAAAUUUGUAUUUCUUCUAAAUUCUAAGUAAUUUUUGGAAAACUAGAAAAUAUGCCUGGUAAUGAGCAGUUUGCGAGAUUGGUGAUUGAUUCCCUGGAUUCCGUGGGUGGCACCGCGAGCAUGGAUGUAAUCCUGCAUACAAUCCAAGGGGUCAUCCACGUUAGGAUCAUAGACCUGUUCGAUAUAGUGGUGGACAUCUUACACAAUUUUAUGAAGAGGGGAAAAGUCCGAAAGGUGAACGAUGAGUAUCAAAUCGUGAGAAAACAUAGGACCCGCACAGACCUCUUUUGUUUUUAAUGGUGAAUAAGGACAGCAAUGACAAGUUGGAGGACUUUUUCCUAGUUUCUUUUUGUGUGGAAAUUUCAAUUCGGAUGGAAAAUCUUUGUGAACCAGGACUUUAAAUUUUAUAAAAACAUUUAUAGCAAUUUUUCUAUUAUAUGUUAUUUUAAACAAUAAAUUACAAUUCCAAGGA
Drosophila biarmipes is the source of this 549-nucleotide long non-coding RNA. RefSeq lists it as uncharacterized. Lineage: Eukaryota; Metazoa; Arthropoda; Insecta; Diptera; Drosophilidae. The record is from RefSeq and is a predicted model, not a curated record. The transcript is spliced from 2 exons.